Otolemur garnettii (small-eared galago) is the source of this 118-nucleotide ribosomal RNA. NCBI's taxonomy places the organism in Eukaryota, Metazoa, Chordata, Mammalia, Primates, Galagidae. The record is from Ensembl.
AUCUGUGGCCUUAUCACCUUGGAUCUGCCUGAUCUUGUCUGAUCUUGGAAGCUAAGCAGGAUCAGGCCUGGUUAGUACAUGAAAGGGAGACUGCCUGAAAUAAUGGGUGCUAUAGGCU